This 289-nucleotide ribosomal RNA is filed under the name uncultured soil bacterium. Its description in RNAcentral is "partial 16S ribosomal RNA". It matches the Rfam family "Bacterial small subunit ribosomal RNA", at positions 26 to 305 of the family's 1533-position model. The record is from RNAcentral.
AGAUUGAACGCUGGCGGCAUGCUUUACACAUGCAAGUCGAACGGCAGCACGGGAGCAACCCUGAUGGCGAGUGGCGAACGGGUGAGUAAUGCAUCGGAACGUAUCUUCAAGUAAGGGAUAACGCAUCGAAAGAUGCGCUAAUACCGCAUAAUCUCUGAGGAAGAAAAGCAAGAGAUCGACAAGACCUUGCGUCUUUUGGAGCGGCCGAUGUCGUGAGUUAGCUUAGGUUGGUGGAAGGUAAAGGCUUAACCGAAGGCUUCGAUACUAAUAGCUGUCUGAGAGGACGACA